UUAGAUCAAAAAACAAUCCUUGGCAUGCUGAGUGAGGACAUACAUUACAAGAAGAGUCCCAAGCUCAAUCCUAGGGUGUUCGCAGAGCCCUAAAGCUUGACUGUGAUGCUGGCACAACUAGAGCCCCACAGACAUACAGAGGAGCU
RNAcentral lists this long non-coding RNA (146 nucleotides) under Struthio camelus australis. Its description in RNAcentral is "lncRNA (ENSSCUG00000007464.1)". Lineage: Eukaryota; Metazoa; Chordata; Aves; Struthioniformes; Struthionidae. The record is from RNAcentral.